Molecule: non-coding RNA, 1736 nt
Organism: Phoenix dactylifera (date palm)
Lineage: Eukaryota; Viridiplantae; Streptophyta; Magnoliopsida; Arecales; Arecaceae
Source: RefSeq, a predicted model, not a curated record
UUCAAUCUUCAGCCAAAAGAUGGUUCUGGUAUAAUAGUAUAAAAAGUUGUAAUGGUCUUGAACUGUAACCAUUAUAUAUAGCUAUUGCAAAACCGUUAAUACCAUGGUUUUUCAAAAAUGGUUGUAUUAUAUAAGUAAUAUUAUGAUAACAGAUAUUUUUUGUUGAUCCAUAAAAUAAUUUCACAGUAUGUUUAGCGAUGUCUACAGAUCUUUCACAAGAGGAAGGACACCUCGAAGUCCAUAUAAUUCGUAGCGUCAUGUCAUUUCUAAAGCCAAGUUUCUUGCCAUGUAUAAGAUUUUUGUUGUAAAAUUUCCAUAUCCAUUUCCAUUUCGUUAAACUCCCAAAAGGAAGCUCAUUUAAGUGGUUUCAGACGGUUCAUCUCGGGCAUCCAAUUUCCAUAGAUCGCUAACCGAUCUGCAGCAUGAUUAUCUCAUCCACAGAUGUGCACGACUUAUGAGAACCCUCAAAAAAGAGCAGACUAAAACUUCUAAUUUCAUCGACUGGGGAUAUUACACAAAUACUCUAUAAGGAUUCGCAUCCAAAAUAUAUACUUGAUUGUGGACGUAUUCUAAUUACUUUGUGUGCAAGGAAGACGAGACGCCGCCCUCAUUAUUUAGUAGAGAAGAUAACACCAAAAAAUAUUAUACACAAUCCGAUUGACUUCCGUCAACUUGGUAUCCUUAAUUAUCAUCCGGUUCGGCCCACUCAAGGUUGAUUAAUUAGUUUACACGCUAAACUAAUUAUCCACUUGCUUCAACAAGAAACAAGCCGCUAGCUUCCAGCUAUUUUUAUACUGGGGAUGAGCUCCGUCGAACUCGCUAAAUUUCGUGCACACAUAACGCGUCCGUCUGAGAGAGGAGAAUCGAAGCAAUGGCUUGGCUCGAGGCCGUCACCUCCUUGGCUACACUGGCGUAUCAAUUUUUCCGGGGUGGCUCGGGAGAACGUGGGGAACGCCGGAGAGAGGAGUACUACAAUUCCUACGGCACAGAAUGGAACUCUCAGUAUCCAUAUGGCUUCGCAACAAAUCGAUUCUGUGUAUGGCCAUGGAAGAGAGCGUUACGAGCAGAGAGGUUCAGGGAAGCACCACCGUGGCGAGCCUCAAGAAGAGUGGUACUCGUAUCGGAUACGGGACCAGAGCGGUGACACGGAGAUUGACCGUGGUCAGGAGCCGGCGCGCGGAGGAGAAGAAGAAGAAGAAGAAAGGAGGCAGGUUUGCCCUGUGCCGACGUGUGGAUUAUGAGGAGAGAGGGAUGAUGACGAAGAAGUACGUGGACUCUAGAGGAAGGCAAGUCAUAGAGCAGAAGCCUUAUAGCUCGAGGAUGUAUGAGGAGGACCAGUACCUCCCAGUAAUCGGAGAUUAUGAGGAGGGCAUCGGGAGGAGAGAGGGGUGGUUAUCAAGUGCUUGAUCAUGGCUGCCUUCUUGCUUACUGUGGAGGGUUGGGUCUUGCACAGUAAAAUUGUGUCCCAGCUUUGUCUUUAAAAAUAAAAGAAAAAAAAAGAAAGGAAAAAAAAAACUUUCUCGUGCAAGACAAUUUCCAUCUCCUACUGUUUCCUCUCCUGUAAACUUCUGUUUCCUCUCGUUCUCUGCAUAGGCUAUAUAUGUCCAUCUUGUUCUUCUUUAUUUUUGCGUUAAAGGAGAGGGAAAAAAAUCUCUGUUAGUUUGCUUGUAGAUUGGUGGACUUGUAUUUUAAAUGUAUCUAAUCUUGCAUAAAUAACGAAAUUUGCGUUCUCUCCA